GAUUCCCUAGUACGGCGAGUGAAGAGGGAAGAGCCCAAGAUUGAAAGCUGGCGUCUUCGGCGUCCGCAUUGUAAUCUCAAGAAGUGUUUUCCGCUUCGGACCAUGCCUAAGUCCCUUGGAAAAGGGCAUCAUAGAGGGUGAUAAUCCCGUUCAUGGCAUGGAGCGCCCGAAGCUUUGUGAUACGCUUUCUAAGAGUCGAGUUGUUUGGGAAUGCAGCUCAAAAUGGGUGGUAAAUGCCAUCUAAGGCUAAAUAUUGGGGAGAGACCGAUAGCGAACAAGUACAGUGAUGGAAAGAUGAAAAGAACUUUGAAAAGAGAGUUAAACAGUACGUGAAAUUGCCAAAAGGGAAGGGUAGGAGGUCAGAGAUGCGUCUUGGAAUUCAGCCUUGCUUCUGCUUGGUGUUUUUUCCAAGUUGCAGGCCAACGUCGGUUUUGGGCACUGGAGAAGGGUGGAAGGAAUGUGGCACCUCUCGGGGUGUGUUAUAGCCUUCUACUGGAUACAGCGACCGAGACCGAGGACAGCAGCGUACUCGUAAGAGCGGGCCUUCGGGCACCUUUACGCUUAGGGCGUUGGCAUAAUGGCCCUCUACCACCCGUCUUG
Molecule: ribosomal RNA, 600 nt
Filed under: Sporisorium sp.
Lineage: Eukaryota; Fungi; Basidiomycota; Ustilaginomycetes; Ustilaginales; Ustilaginaceae
Description: eukaryotic LSU rRNA
Rfam family: Eukaryotic large subunit ribosomal RNA
Source: RNAcentral